Molecule: ribosomal RNA, 497 nt
Filed under: uncultured bacterium
Lineage: Bacteria
Description: partial 16S ribosomal RNA
Rfam family: Bacterial small subunit ribosomal RNA
Source: RNAcentral
GAUGAACGCUGGCGGCGUGCCUAAUACAUGCAAGUCGAGCGAACGGACGAGAAGCUUGCUUCUCUGCUGUUAGCGGCGGACGGGUGAGUAACACGUGGAUCACCUACCUCUAAGACUGGGAUAACUUCGGGAAACCGUAGCUAAUACCGGAUCAUAUGUUGAACCGCAUGGUUCAAAAGUGAAAGACGGUCUUGCUGUCUCUUAUAGAUGGAUCCGCGCUGCAUUAGCUAGUUGGUAAGGUAACGGCUUACCAAGGCAACGAUGCGUAGCUGACCUGAGAGGGUGAUCAGCCACACUGGAACUGAGACACGGUCCAGACUCCUACGGGAGGCAGCAGUAGGGAAUCUUCCGCAAUGGGCGAAAGCCUGACGCAGCAACGCCGCGUGAGUGAUGAAGGUCUUCGGAUCGUAAAACUCUGUUAUUAGGGAAGAACAGAUGUGUAAGUAACUCUGCACAUCUUGACGGUACCUAAUCAGAAAGCCACGGCUAACUACGUG